CAAUAGCGUAUAUUAAAGUUGUUGCAGUUAAAAAGCUCGUAGUUGGAUUUCGGGGUGGCCUGGCUGGUCCGCCGCAAGGUGAGUACUGGUCAGCCGCCCUUCCUCUCGAAAGCCCCGACUGCUCUUUACUGCAGUGGUCGGGUAGUUCGGGGCGUUUACUUUGAAAAAAUUAGAGUGUUCAAGGCAGGCUAUCGCCUGAAUACAUUAGCAUGGAAUAAUGGAAGAGGACCUCGGUCCUAUUUUGUUGGUUUCUAGGGCCGAAGUAAUGAUUAAGAGGGACAGUUGGGGGCAUUCGUAUUUAAUUGUCAGAGGUGAAAUUCUUGGAUUUAUGAAAGACGAACUAGUGCGAAAGCAUUUGCCAAGGAUGUUUUCAUUAA
This 377-nucleotide ribosomal RNA is filed under the name uncultured eukaryote. RNAcentral's name for it is "partial 18S ribosomal RNA". It matches the Rfam family "Eukaryotic small subunit ribosomal RNA", at positions 592 to 976 of the family's 1831-position model. The record is from RNAcentral.